CCACAUUUAGUCUCCAUAGUUCUUUCUCUCUCUGGAUCCUAAUAGCUCUUUCCAUUUUAUUAGAAUUGUCUUCGAUCAUCUCAUUGUUGAAGAGAGCCACGUCCAUCACAGUUGAUCAUCACAUAAUCUUGUUGCUGUGUACAAUGUUCUCCUGGUUCUACUCACUUCACUUAUCAUCAGUUCAUGUAAUUCUUUCCAGGCCUCUGAAAUCAUCCUGCUGGUUGUUUCUUACAGAACAAUAAUAUUCCAUAACAUUCACAUACCAUAACUUGUUCAGCCAUUCCCCAAAUGAUGGGCAUCCACUCAGUUUCCAGUUCUUUGACAUUACAAAAAGGCCUGCCACAAACAUUUUUGUAUGUGUGAUUUGUUUCCCCUUUUUAUGACCUCUUUGGGAUACAGACCCACUAGAGACAUGGCUGGAUCAAAGGGUAGGCAGAGUUUUGUAGCCCUUUUGGGUAUAGUUCCAAAUUGUUCUCCAGAAUGGCUAAAUCAAUUAAAACACCAACAGUGCAUUAGUGUCCCAGUUUUCCACGUCCCCUCCAACAUCAUUAUUCAAAAGCCCCUUGUGACUAUUUUUGAGAGAAGGGAGAUAAAUUUUUUUACAUUUAAGAAAUGUAAUUAUUUCCUAUACCUUUAUCUGUCUAAAAAAGUCACAGAACUUUGUAAUGCUACCUUCUAAAAAGGAAACCUUGAAAAAUUUAAAUUAAAAAAAAAAAGGAAGAAUUGUCAAAAUCCAAGAGAUUUUCUCUAUCCCAGGAUGGAGAAAGAAAAAAACAAGCAAACAAUGACAACAAAAAAGGUGAGAAUACUAUGUUGUGAUCCACUUUCAGGCCCCAUGAUUCUCUCAGGAUGUAGAUGUCUCUUUCCAUCACAAGUCUAUUGGAUGUGGCCUGAAUCACCACGUUGUUGAAAAGAGCCAUGUCCAUCAAAGUCGAUCAUUAUAUAACCUUCUUGUUGCCAUGUACAAUAUUUCCCUAGUUCUAGUCACUUAGCAUCAGUUCAUGUAAGACUCUCCAAGCUUCUCAAAAAUCAUUCUGUUGAUUGUUUCUUACAGAAAAUAACAUUCCAUUACAUUCAUAUACCAUAAUUUAUUCAGACAUUCUCCAACUGAUGGGCAAUCAUUCAGUUUCCAGUUUCUUGCCACUACAAAGAGGGCUGCCACAAACAUUUUUGCACAAGUGAGUCCCUUUCCCUCCUUUAUGAUCUCUUUGGGAUAUAAGUCCAGUAGAAACACUGCUGGAUCAAAGGGUCUGCACAGUUUGACAGCCCUUUGGGCAUAGUUCCAAAUUAAAGGUCUCACUUUUCAAACACAGAGGGAACUGAAUCAAAUUUGUAAAAAAAAGAAGAGCCAUGCCCCAACUGAUAAGUGACCAAAAGUUUUUUUGCCAAAGGGCUAUAAAUUCAUAUGAACAAAACAUUUAUACCAUCUCUCUUCUCGGGAAAAAAUUAGAAAUUGAUGAAAGAAUGCAAAUCAAUUGUGAAUGGCUGAAUAAAUUUUGGUGUUUUUGUGAUGGAAUAUUAUUGUUCUAUGGGAAAUGAUGAGCAGGAUGCUCUCAGAAAAAAAAAACAAACCUGAAAAGUCCUCCAAAAAAAACCUGAAAAGUCCUCCAUGAACUCAAGCAAAGUAAAACGUACUGUACACAAAUAGCAAUAUUUUGGAAUGACCAGGUGUAAAUGACUUUGUUAUUUAUUCUUACUACUCUGAAGGAUUUGAUGAAAAAUCUUAUCCAUACUCAGAAGGAAUUGAUGUCUGAAUAAAGAUUGAAG
Long non-coding RNA from Sarcophilus harrisii (Tasmanian devil), 1767 nucleotides. NCBI's taxonomy places the organism in Eukaryota, Metazoa, Chordata, Mammalia, Dasyuromorphia, Dasyuridae. The record is from Ensembl.